AUAGCACGAAUGUAGACAUGGCCGACGUGGGUCAAAGUGUUGUAUCUGUUCUUAUCAGCUUAAUACCUGACAUGGGUUGUAUUUGGACCAAAGAUAUUAAACUGCAUUUUUGCAAGUUGGCGAGUGCUUGAAGCUUGCUUCACCUCCGUCACAGGUCGGCCCGGUAUUGUGCUAUAUUCGGGAUCGGCCCACGGUUU
Dermacentor silvarum is the source of this 197-nucleotide small nuclear RNA. RefSeq annotates it as U2 spliceosomal RNA. Lineage: Eukaryota; Metazoa; Arthropoda; Arachnida; Ixodida; Ixodidae. The transcript has a single exon. The record is from RefSeq and is a predicted model, not a curated record.